RNAcentral lists this long non-coding RNA (1150 nucleotides) under Fukomys damarensis (Damara mole-rat). Its description in RNAcentral is "lncRNA (ENSFDAG00000032893.1)". The record is from RNAcentral. Lineage: Eukaryota; Metazoa; Chordata; Mammalia; Rodentia; Bathyergidae.
AUGCCUGCUAUGCUUCAUUUUGCUCUUGUUUUCAAAAUAUCUGCUUUCUCUAGGAACAAGGAGGGCAAGCUCCUUCCCUGGGCUUCUAGCCACAACCAAGGGGUCCAGGUGUGGACCUUCUGCCCUUCCAGGUGCAGCACCACUGCAGCUAUGAACAGUUGGCCCUGCUUGGAGGAUGGACACAUACAUGCAUUCCCACCACGCCAUGGGCCAACAAAUCCUAAGUACCUGUCAAGCCUGUUGAGGGUGAGCCCCAGGCUGGCUCACACACCCCAACUAGACGUUCCGGGCUGCUCAUCAGGCACUCUGUCAUCUCCCCGAGCCCCAUGUGCACUGCGCUUUGAUGUGGGGAUGCAAUCAGCCACUCUCCAGGCAGCACAGCUUCUCCCAGGCACUGGGCCCUGGGGCGGCCUGUGCCUGCUGAUCUCCAGCACUGGUCUCCUCGCUCUGACUGUCUUGCACCCUUACCCGGGAAGGCACCCCUGCCACAGCCUGGAGUGUUGCGUGCUUUCUUCCCAGGUGUCCUCUCUCCAGCAAAGCACUUACCACACUGUACAGCUGUAUCUAGUUUUUCUGUCUGUGCCCCUUAAGCUUUGUGGUUAAAAGUCUUUUCCUGUCUUUAUUCCUGUUUGCUCUGUGUACUAUUGAAUGGAGCAGCAGACCUGCAAUUGUAUUUGUUGAAUAAAAUCUGAUAAUAUUGCUGUGGUGGCCCGCACACAGUAUGGGGAAAACAAGUACCCCUUUAAGCCUUUUGUGGAAGUGAAAUUUGGCACAUUGGGAAAAUCUGGCACUAUCUGUCAAAAUUCAAAUUGUGGUCAGCAAAAUUUUUAUUUUGAAAUUUAUUUAUAGGUCUAUAAGCCUAUGCAAGAAAUAAGUUUAAGACUAUCCACCAAAGCAUUAUUUAUACAGCCAAGGAUGAAACAGUGUAAAGAUGCAUCAACAGAGGGCUUGUUAAACAACACAUAUCAACAAAACAGAAUAGCAUGCACCCAUGUAAAGAGGUCACAUGUCAGCAUGUACCACAAUAGACCAAUUUCUAAAUACACUGAUAUUUCAAGCAAUGCGUACAGUAUGUGUACAAUAACUUCUACCUGUGUUUAAAAAAUAUAAAUUGUAUGUGUUUUCCUUGUGUGUGCAUAGAAUAUCUUUG